RNAcentral lists this ribosomal RNA (371 nucleotides) under uncultured eukaryote. Its description in RNAcentral is "partial small subunit ribosomal RNA". It matches the Rfam family "Eukaryotic small subunit ribosomal RNA", at positions 587 to 972 of the family's 1831-position model. The record is from RNAcentral.
AGCUCCAGAAGCAUAUAUUAAAGUUGUUGCAGUUGUAUGCUCCUAGUCUGUUUUUUGUUGCAUCUUGUUUGUUUAGUUCUUUUGGUCUCGAAUCAAUUGCAUACUAUUUAAACGGCGACUUUUUUGUUUUUUUCACUUGUGAAUUAAAAACAUCCUUUACUGAGACUAAAUUGAAAUGUUCCAUGUAGACUUACGUACUGAACAAUCCAGCUUGGAAUAAUGCCCUAGGAAUUUUGGGUCUUUAUUUGACGAACUUAAAAUUAAUACGAGAUAGGAACCGACGGGGAUGCUUGUAUUUGUUGGCAAGAGGUGAAAUUCUUGGACCCACCAAAGACAGUCUUAUGCGAAAGCGUUCAUCAAGAAGGUUUCCA